CUGGCCCUUGACAUCCAGAGAACUUUCCAGAGAUGGAUUGGUGCCUUCGGGAACUCUGAGACAGGUGCUGCAUGGCCGUCGUCAGCUCGUGUCGUGAGAUGUUGGGUUAAGUCCCGUAACGAGCGCAACCCCUAUCCCUGGUUGCUAGCAGGUAAUGCUGAGAACUCCAGGGAGACUGCCGGUGACAAACCGGAGGAAGGUGGGGAUGACGUCAGGUCAUCAUGGCCCUUACGGCCAGGGCUACACACGUGCUACAAUGGCGCGUACAGAGGGCUGCCAACUCGCGAGAGUGAGCCAAUCCCUUAAAACGCGUCGUAGUCCGGAUCGCAGUCUGCAACUCGACUGCGUGAAGUCGGAAUCGCUAGUAAUCGCGAAUCAGAAUGUCGCGGUGAAUACGUUCCCGGGUCUUGUA
RNAcentral lists this ribosomal RNA (412 nucleotides) under uncultured bacterium. Its description in RNAcentral is "bacterial SSU rRNA". It matches the Rfam family "Bacterial small subunit ribosomal RNA", at positions 975 to 1385 of the family's 1533-position model. The record is from RNAcentral.